RNAcentral lists this long non-coding RNA (716 nucleotides) under Homo sapiens (human). Its description in RNAcentral is "HSALNT0310863". The record is from RNAcentral. Lineage: Eukaryota; Metazoa; Chordata; Mammalia; Primates; Hominidae.
GCGCCGGGAUGCGCUCUCCUCUUCUCAUUUGCCAAUUUAUUGCAGAUCCCUCCUCAAAAAAGUUUUGGGACUAACUCAGCCCCAUGGAGAUCAAGGUGAAUUAGAAAAACAACAAAACAAAACAAGAUUCAUUUUAACAUCUCAUUUUUCUAUCUCCAACUUUCCCUCCCCUCCUCCCACCCCAGGAAGAAAAGACUACGUUUGUUUCUGGUGAUACAUUCAUUGUAGGUGGGUGGGUGACUUCUAGAAGAGGAAAAUCAAGAAGAUUUGGAGAAGGAGUCUUGGAAGCUCUGGUGAAGUUUUCCAAAACUGGGAAGGACAGAGUCUGCUCAGCCUGUGUUAGUGGAGAAGAGGGAAGGAAACUGGCUGGAGGCCGCUGGACCCACAGAGGACAAUAGACAAUCUCCUGCUGAUGCCCACUGGAUCCAAAGAGAGAAACUCUAUAGAAUUAUGAUCUAGGUUUGACUGACUCCUGGCAAGAAGCCCUACCCGCCAGCCAAUUUGGAUGAGCUCUUAUGCUCCAGAUCCAUCAUGAGAAGAACAUGCCCUGGAUUCCUGCUAUCCCUUUAGCCAUGGCUCCAAAAUUAACACACACAAGGAAGACCUGAGGUCAAUCCACAGCCUGGAUUCAAGUCACCUAAUACAUAGGAGAAUCAGAGCUACCCAGCCACACUCAAUCUACGUUAACUGAACCUCAGCUGACCUGCAGAUUUAUG